Molecule: ribosomal RNA, 2130 nt
Filed under: human metagenome
Description: bacterial LSU rRNA
Rfam family: Bacterial large subunit ribosomal RNA
Source: RNAcentral
ACUCACCGCCGUUGAAAAGUUGGGAGAUGAGAUAGGUCUAGGGGUGAAAAGCCAAUCGAACUAGGAGAUAGCUCGUUCUCUCCGAAAUGCAUUUAGGUGCAGCCUUGGACUGAGAUAUGUGGGGGUAGAGCUCUGUAUGAUCUAGGGGGCGUACUGCUUACCGAAAUCAAGCAAACUGCGAAUACCAUAUAUCAUGUUCAGGAGUGAGUCCGUGGAUGACAAGGUCCUCGGACGAGAGGGGAACAGCCCAGACCACCAGCUAAGGUCCCUAAUUAUGUCUAAGUGGGAAAGGAGGUGGAUAUUCACAGACAACCAGGAGGUUGGCUUAGAAGCAGCCAUACCUUGAAAGAGUGCGUAAUAGCUCACUGGUCGAGAGUGCCUGCGCCGAAGAUGUAACGGGGCUAAGACAUAAACCGAAGCUGCGGAAGAUACACUGUAUCUUGGUAGGAGAGCGUUCUGUAGGCCGUCGAAGGGAUGCCGCAAGGCCGUCCUGGAGGUAUCAGAAGCGAGAAUGCAGGAAUGAGUAGCGAGAAGGCGGGCGAGAAUCCCGCCGGCCGGAAGUCCAAGGUUUCCAGGGGAAGGCUUGUCCGCCCUGGGGAAGUCGGGACCUAAGCAUAAGCAAAAUUGUGAUGGCGAAUGGAAAACAGGUUAAUAUUCCUGUACCGCUGUUAUCGCUUGAGAGACGGAGUGACGCAGGAAGGUAUGCGAGAAGGCUGACGGUUUAGCCUUUCUAAGGGCCCAGCGUGGGCGUGCUGGUAAAUCCGCACGCCUAAACGUGAGACCUGACGGGGAAGUGCAUUUGCAUAAGUCGCAGAUCCUACACUGCCAAGAAAAACUUCUAUCGAUGAGAAGCAGCGCCCGUACUGUAAACCGACACAGGUGGACAGAGUGAGAAACUUAAGGCCGACAGGAUAACUCUAGCUAAGGAACUCUGCAAAAUAGCCCCGUAACUUCGGGAGAAGGGGUGCCUGACAUACCUGAAGGAGAGAAGCGCUCCCAGGGGAAACAGGCCGCAGUGAAGAGUCUCAAGCAACUGUUUACCAAAAACACAGGUCUAUGCUAAGCUGAAAGGCGACGUAUAUGGGCUGACACCUGCCCAGUGCCGGAAGGUUAAGAGGAGGAGUGAGAGCUCCGAUUUGAAGCCCCGGUGAACGGCGGCCGUAACUAUAACGGUCCUAAGGUAGCGAAAUUCCUUGUCGGGUAAGUUCCGACCUGCACGAAUGGUGUAAUGAUUUGAGCGCUGUCUUGACGGGAGGCCUGGUGAAAUUGUAUUACCGGUGAAGAUACCGGUUACCUACAGUAGGACGGAAAGACCCCAUGGAGCUUUACUGUAGCUUGGUAUUGGGUUUUGGCAUUGCAUGUAUAGGAUAGUUGGGAGACUGAGAUGAUAUGGCGCUAGCUGUAUCGGAGUCAUCGGUGGAAUACCAACCAUUCAAUGCUGAAAUUCUAAUCUGUGGUUUGUAGCCACGGAGACAGUGCUAGGUGGGCAGUUUGACUGGGGCGGUCGCCUCCGAAAGAGUAACGGAGGCGUUCAAAGGUUCUCUCAGGUUGGAUGGAAAUCAACCAUAGAGUGCAAUGGCAUAAGAGAGCUUGACUGCAAGACUGACGGGUCGAGCAGAUGCGAAAGCAGGACAUAGUGAUCCGGCGAUUCCGAAUGGAAGGGUCGUCGCUCAACGGAUAAAAGCUACCCUGGGGAUAACAGGCUGAUCCUACCCGAGAGUCCAUAUCGACGGUAGGGUUUGGCACCUCGAUGUCGGCUCAUCGCAUCCUGGGGCUGGAGAAGGUCCCAAGGGUUGGGCUGUUCGCCCAUUAAAGCGGUACGUGAGCUGGGUUCAGAACGUCGUGAGACAGUUCGGUCCCUAUCCACUGUAGGCGUUAGAAUAUUGAGAAGACCUGUCCUUAGUACGAGAGGACCGGGAUGGACAAACCUCUGAUGUACCAGUUGUCACGCCAGUGGCACAGCUGGGUAGUCACGUUUGGAAUAGAUAACCGCUGAAAGCAUCUAAGCGGGAAACUAACUUCAAGAUAAGUAUUCUUUAAGAUACCUUCGAGCCUAGGAGGUUGAUAGGUUGGGGGUGUAAGUGCAGCAAUGCAUUUAGCUGACCAAUACUAAUUAUCGAAGUUUUAAUC